Molecule: ribosomal RNA, 790 nt
Filed under: uncultured Bacteroidota bacterium
Lineage: Bacteria; Pseudomonadati; Bacteroidota
Description: bacterial SSU rRNA
Rfam family: Bacterial small subunit ribosomal RNA
Source: RNAcentral
AUACACCGGCGUACGGGUGCGUAACGCGUAUGGAACCUGCCCUUAUCUGGGGGAUAACUCGGGGAAACUCGAGCUAAUACCGCAUAAGAUAGUAGAAUGGCAUCAUUCAGCUAUUAAAGAUUUAUUGGAUAAGGAUGGCCAUGCGUAAGAUUAGAUAGUUGGCGAGGUAACGGCUCACCAAGUCUACGAUCUUUAGGGGCUCUGAGAGGAGAAUCCCCCACACUGGCACUGAGAUACGGGCCAGACUCCUACGGGAGGCAGCAGUAGGGAAUAUUGGGCAAUGGGCGGAAGCCUGACCCAGCCACGCCGCGUGCAGGAAGACGGCCCUCUGGGUUGUAAACUGCUUUUAACUGGGAAGAAAGCAGCUCAUGCGUGAGAAUUUGACGGUACCAGUUGAAUAAGCCACGGCUAACUACGUGCCAGCAGCCGCGGUAAUACGUAGGUGGCGAGCGUUAUCCGGAUUUAUUGGGUUUAAAGGGAGCGUAGGCGGCUGAUUAAGUCAGCGGUGAAAGAUAGCAGCUUAACUGUUUUACAUGCCGUUGAUACUGGUUAGCUUGAGUUGACAGAAGGCAGAUAGAAUUCCUGAUGUAGCGGUGAAAUGCUUAGAUAUCAGGAGGAAUACCGAUUGCGAAGGCAGUCUGCUGCAGUCACACUGACGCUGAGGCUCGAAGGUGCGGGGAUCAAACAGGAUUAGAUACCCUGGUAGUCCGCACAGUAAACGAUGAUUACUAGAUGUUGGCGAUGCCAGUGUCCAAGGGAAACCGAUAAGUAAUCCACCUGGGGAGUACGC